UGGUAAGCAAAGCAUGUAUUAGUCAUCAUGAAAUAUGAGAAGUGAGUAUGAGAAAGACCACAUACCUGAAAAAAGUUAUUCACCUCCUCACCAAGUAAAGCCAUUUCAAAAUGGUAAAGAGUUCCAAUACAUUUGAUUUUCCCCCUAAUUAUUUAUAUAUAAAUUUAGCCAUUAAUUUAUUCCUUUUAGAAAUGAAUAUAUUUAUGAAAUGGUCGAAGUACUAAUUGAAGAUGAGAGAUGACAUGAUAAGAUGGUUUAUUUCUAUCAAAGACCUAAGCUAUAGAUGUAACAGAAAGAAUGAGUGAUGUGUUUAUGUUCGUAUUACUUAGUUUAGUCAGCGUAGUUUGGUCUUAUUAUCUGUAAUUAGGCUUUUACGUUUCAUUAAGGGUAGUUUAGUCUUUGCCUCUGUAAUUAGGUCCUUAGGAUUUUGGCUUUUACCUAUUUAUAUUGUACUUUGCAGCUUUUGCAUUUUAUCAAUUCAAUACAUACGUAUUUUGCUCUCAAAAUUUUUUCUUGGUAUUAAAGCCAUACAGACGGCUGACCUAGCUUCUGAUGUAUGUCGUCUCGAGCAGUUGCGGGCCCUUUCAGCCCCUUUGCAAGCCUUUUCAGCCCCUUUGCAAGCCUUUGCUGGUGCCCACUCUCUCGUCUCGCAAUGGUCUCUCUCUCUUUGUCGCAGACCAUUGUUCGUGGUUCACUCUCUAAACCAUUCGAUCGAAACAGGUCCUCCAUCUCUCAUUGUCUCUCCCUCCGAUUUCCCUUUUGUUGCUUUACUUCGCUUCUGCUUCGCUAUUGUCUCUGUUCUUUGCAGUUCCUCAGGAAUCAACCCACCAUCAUCCUCAUAGGACAUUGCAGCCCAUUCGUAGAUCUCUGCAGAUGCUGUCUCUCUUGUCGCAGGUCAUUGUCGUUGUUCUCUUUCUCCCUCAUCGCUGCUCUAGUUGCAAUCGCACCUUCAUCUGGUGCCCUGAAGCUGUUCGCGAUCUUCAUCUGGUGCUUAUAGUUGUUCACAACCCCCUAUUAAGGUUGUGCGUGACGUCUUGCUACCUUCGUGACAUCUCCGGUGUGUACCUUCUAUGCAUGCAAAAUGCUUUGGCGGCGAUUGGAGAUAAAGAACAAAUAUUGGUUCUCAAGUUUCUGCCUCUAAAGUAAACUAAGCAUUGGUUUUCUUCACUGGACCACAAGCAACUUAAAUUAUGCGCUAAGCUGGCCUUAGUUACUAUGCAAGGACUAAGGGUUUGACGGCAAUAGGAAAGCCAAGACAUUGUGGUCUUACAUUGUUUUUGCAAUUUUUUGAACCAUUUAAUUGGAAAGAAAUGCAUGAGUUUUUUAUGACAAGGAGUUAGAUGUGGAAUCUUCAUGGGAUAAGACGAGUUACUUGGCUUUGUUUUGGGCUUUUGUGUCUCCUCUAUUUAAAGGAGUUCUAUUUUUUUAUUUUUUAUUUUUUUUAUUUCUAGGAAUUGGAUUGUUGUUUGCUAUUCUUAGUUUUUGGAAUGUUUUCCAAGUUGCACUGUUGAUUUUUGUUUAGUUUUCUUUUUCAUUGUAUGAGGACUCCUUGUCCUCUCUUUGUUUCAUGCAUGUUUCUUAAUAAAACUUUCUUUGUUGUUGCUCAAAAAAAUAAAAGAAUAAAUUACACUAACCUCCCAUGAGGUUUCUGAAAUGACACUGAUCUCUCUUAUCAGUGUUGUUGGACACACUGAGGUAACAUAAAGUUGUCUUUUACAAUUUUUCCUUCUAUGUUUCUUAGAUUUCCGUUACAACACCCAAGUCCACUCACUCCUAACAUAAAACCAAACCACACCCAAUCUCAUCUCCUUCAAUAUCUUAGAUUCCUAACAUUAUCCCUAAAUACAGACUAUACAAUAUCUGAAUGGAUGAUGGUUAAAGGCAAUAGAUGGUAGUUGGGUUGGUGGUUUGAGGCAGAGAAGAACCACUGGAGGUAGUCGGGGACUAUGGUAGUGGGGGUAUGCUAUUGUGAGAAUGAGAGAGACAGUUUCCAUAAGGGUGGGACUAUGGUGGAGGGAUGAUGGUUAGAGGUGGUAGAUGGUGGAUGGACUAGUGGCUUGAAGUGGUAGAAGGCCCAAGGUUGGUGGAUUUAGGUGGAGAGGUACCAUUGGAGGUGGUCGUGGUCUAUGGUGGUGGCGGUUUGCAAUUAAAAGGAGAAAGACAGUGGCCAUGUGCGAUUCUUGUGGGUGACGUUAGAGGGUGUGUGAUGCCUUGUUGGUAGCGAUGUAAGGCACACUAAUGGUAAACUGUUUCCUACUUUAACGUCAUUGAUAGUAAUAAUGAGAGCACUAUACUUACUGUAUGGAAUGUGAGUGUGACUAUAUCUUCCAUGUACGUACUUGUUGCUUUUGUAUAUUGUGCCAAAGUUGUCUCACCUGUUUCUUAGGGUAAUUGAUUUUCCUUUUUUCUAUAAUGUGCAAGCUUAUGGGGUUUUUAAGUUUUUCGUUAAUUCAUGAUCAUAUUCUUGA
Non-coding RNA from Camellia sinensis, 2468 nucleotides. The record is from RefSeq and is a predicted model, not a curated record. Lineage: Eukaryota; Viridiplantae; Streptophyta; Magnoliopsida; Ericales; Theaceae.